Molecule: long non-coding RNA, 1566 nt
Organism: Acanthopagrus latus (yellowfin seabream)
Lineage: Eukaryota; Metazoa; Chordata; Actinopteri; Spariformes; Sparidae
Exons: 3
Source: RefSeq, a predicted model, not a curated record
ACAGAGUUCGUCAAGUCCGCCUCUGUCUGGGCGUGAUUGACAGAUCGUGACCUACCUGCGUGAGCGGAUGUGUGCGGAAGAGAGGAGACGUACUCAUAGCGAUCUGAGGACUAUAAACAGAGAAGAGAAUUAGCUUGGUAAGUUCAUAGCUAAAACGUUUAGUUUAUGCACGCCAGUGGAUCAACAUAGAAGAGACUAUCCAGGGACAGUCCGGAGUGGGAAAGUCCAGGUUUUUCCUCAGUCGAUCUCGGGGUCUUGUCCAUGGAUGGAGGAAACAAGGGGGGAAAGAGGAAGAGGAGGAGGUGAUGGUAGGUGUGAGUGCAUGAAUCACUGGCAGCCUGUCACAGGAGAGGAGGAAGAGAGGGAGGGAGCAGAGAAGAACCAAAGAAAGGUAAGGAGAGAAGACUGAUGGAGUACAGAGAGGGUUAGCAGUAUUCAAAGGGGUAAGGAGAGCGCUGGUGUUUUGUGCGUGUGUGUGUGGUGAGGAACGGUAUAAACACAGGACAUUUUCAACCAUAUAGACUUAACAACAGGACAAUCGUCCAACCACAUCUUGUAAUGUUUGUUCUGUUCAGCAUAGGUCCAGAAACAUCCAAAAUAGCUAUCAGUGCUGUCUUAAUCACUCAAUGUAUGAUGAUGUAUGAUUAAACUCAAACAAUACGCUUCCUUAUCAUGAUUUACUGCUAUUACCAUGAUUUCCACCACCAACAUGAUUUCAAAAAUGGCCAAACCAAUCGUAAAAUUCAUUUAAAAAUUCUGGGAAGCCUGGCAAAGUUGAACCAGAGAUUGGGAAGAACUAGUACAUACCUUUGCUCUGAGCUCCCACACAAAGUUACCUAGCUGUGACUGAGUCUAAUUGUUUCCAGUUUUUAAUUUUUUUUCACAGAAAACCACACAUUUCUUAAAUUAAAAAGGCAGAUUUUAAACUAGCUGUUUUAAACUUAUUUUCACACAGAUCUCAUGAUUGCAUCUGUACGCAGCACGAAAAUUGUUCAAGUUCAUGUUCCAGCCAGGAUGUAUUCUUUUUUUUAUUGAUUUUUCUUCCUGCUUUCAAACAUUUAUCUUACUAAAAGUAAAAAAAAAAAAAAUAAUAAUCACCAACUCAACCUUCAUUCAUCUUGAAGUACAAAAGAGCAAUAUGAGGAUCUCCAAGUUUUAUUGUAAGUUGCUCAAUUUUCAAGAUUGCCCCUGGGAUCGCUACUCAUUAUCAGCAUCAUUUUGCACUGUUGAGUUAUUUUUUUCCUGAUGGAGAGAUCGAAAAUGUUGAACCCGAUAGCAGCACUACCUUGAAUGUCGCACACACUCUAUAUUUAAUGCCCUACCACUAAACUCUAAGUUCAAUCAGUUUAAGCUCUGACCUUGUUUGUCCGUGGCGUUCAAUGUGUUCAAUCCGCUCUAUCCUGUCCCUGAUGUACUGUACAGUACAACAUCGUGUUGCAUCAAGAGGUAGUCCAAAUCAGUGUUUUCAUUCACUGUACACAUACUCAUAUAGGUUCUUGAUAUGAAUUGACACAAUGUUGAUGUAAUUUCUUAUGAAGCUUGAAUAAAGAAGGUAUAACCUGUUUU